UACGAGGGGUGCAAACAUUAUUCGGAAUCACUGGGCGUAAAGGGUGCGUAGACGGUAAAACAAGUCUGUUAUGAAAUCCUGCGGCUUAACCGCAGGGCUGUAACUGAAACUGUUUUUCUUGAGGAUGGAAGAGAGAAGUGGAAUUCUCGGAGUAGCGGUAAAAUGCGUAGAUCUCGAGAGGAACACCGAUGGCGAAGGCAGCUUCUUGGUCCAUUUCUGACGUUGAGGCACGAAAGCGUGGGGAGCAAACAGG
This 253-nucleotide unclassified non-coding RNA is filed under the name uncultured bacterium. RNAcentral's name for it is "contains 16S-23S intergenic spacer region". It matches the Rfam family "Bacterial small subunit ribosomal RNA", at positions 524 to 776 of the family's 1533-position model. The record is from RNAcentral.